UACGGGGGGGGCUAGCGUUGUUCGGAAUUACUGGGCGUAAAGGGCGCGUAGGCGGUCUGCUAAGUUGGAUGUGAAAACUCUGGGCUUAACCCAGAGCCUGCAUUCAAUACUGACAGGCUAGAGUUCUGGAGGGGAUAGCGGAAUUCCUGGUGUAGCGGUGAAAUGCGUAGAUAUCAGGAGGAACACCUGCGGCGAAGGCGGGUUGCUGGGCUGAUACUGACGCUGAGGCGCGAAAGCCAGGGGAGCGAACGGG
RNAcentral lists this ribosomal RNA (253 nucleotides) under uncultured bacterium. Its description in RNAcentral is "partial 16S ribosomal RNA". It matches the Rfam family "Bacterial small subunit ribosomal RNA", at positions 524 to 776 of the family's 1533-position model. The record is from RNAcentral.